AUUGAACGCUGGCGGCAUGCUUUACACAUGCAAGUCGAACGGCAGCGCGGGCUUCGUCCUGUCGGCGGGUGGGGAACGGGUGAGGAAUGCAUCUAAACGGGCCCAGUAGUGGUGGUUAGGCCUGCCAAAUCCGGAUUUAUACUACAUCCGAACAUACGGUGAAAGGGGGGGAACGAGAGCCUUCGCGCUUUUGGUACUGGCGAUGUCGGAUUAGCUAGUUGGUGGGGUAAAGGCCUACCAAGGCGACGAUCCGUAGCAGGUCUGAGAGGACGACCAGCCACACUGGGACUGAGACACGGCCCAGACUCCUACGGGAGGCAGCAGUGGGGAAUUUUGGACAAUGGGGGCAAGCCUGAUCCAGCCAUGCCGCGUGCGGGAAGAAGGCCUUCGGGUUGUAAAGCGCUUUUGUUAGGGAAGAAAAGCUUUGUGCUAAUACCGACAGGGGAUGACGGUACCGGAAGAAUAAGCACCGGCUAACUACGUG
Molecule: ribosomal RNA, 484 nt
Filed under: uncultured bacterium
Lineage: Bacteria
Description: partial 16S ribosomal RNA
Rfam family: Bacterial small subunit ribosomal RNA
Source: RNAcentral